Molecule: long non-coding RNA, 584 nt
Filed under: Nicotiana tabacum (common tobacco)
Lineage: Eukaryota; Viridiplantae; Streptophyta; Magnoliopsida; Solanales; Solanaceae
Description: long non-coding RNA (NTAB_LNC011359)
Source: RNAcentral
UAUAUGGGCGGGCUCCCAACUUAGGAGGAAAUGAACUAAACUUAGGAGGAAAUGCGUCUCCUAUGGGUAAACUAAACUUAGGAGGAAAUGCGUCUCCUAUGAGUAAAAGUAAACUUAGGAGGAAAUGUGUCUCCUAUGGGUAAAACUAAACUAAGGAGGAAAUGCGUCUCCUAUAGGUAAAACUAAACUUAGGAGGAAAUGCGUCUCCUAUGGGUAAACUAAACUUAGGAAGUGCGUCUCCUAUUGGUAAAGGCGUGGAAUGUAUUCCCUUGUUAUACAGGUGGGCGCCUAAUGGUAAAGACGCAAAAUGUAUUCCCUUGUUAUACAGGUGGGCAACUAUUUUCGACAACAACUUUGAAAAUGGAUCCUAUUUGAGGGCGGAUGAACCCAACAUAUCCUAUUUGAGGGCGGAUGAACCCCGACGUAUCCUAUUUGAGGGCGGAUGAACCCGAACUAUCCUAUUCGAGGGCGGAUGAACCCGAACUAUCCUAUUCGAGGGCGGAUGAACCCGACUUAUCCUAUUCGAGGGAGGAUGAACCCGACAUAUCCUAUUCGAGGGCGGAUGAACCCGGACAUAUCCUAUU